AUUAAAUCCUAGCAAUGAAUUCACAAAUGGCACAUGUUCACCAUUAGUUCAUUAAGGAAGGUAUCUACCUUGGAUAUUUUCUGGUAAUGCUUGGUUAAUUCAGAUUUUAGUUGUUGCAGCUUUUAAAUACACUUCACAAUUGGGGUUUUCCCCGAUUCCAUUGUUGAUCAUUUCCAUUAGUCCAAAUGAAUGAGUUUGUAUGCUAGCCAUUUUCAUGGUCUGAGUUUAUAAGCCUCACACUUGGAAUUUUCUGUGAAAGCAAAAACCCCAUUUUUCUAGAAAAUAAAUUAUUUUUCUCCAUAAAUUUUAUUAACUGCCUUUGCUUCCAAGACAUGCAUUAAACAAGGAAACGGCAAAAUAGAAUACUGAUUCCUCAUUCCACGUUUAAGCAUUUUACAAAUACUGUAUGAGUUUAUUCCUUAACAUUAUUCAUAAUAACAUUUAUUACCACAUUUAUGUCUCUAGAAAGAGAUCAUGACCCUGCCACUCAUCUGUUCUGCUUGCUUUGAGGAUCUUCAAUGUGCUUUGUACAAUUAGCAUUAAUCUUAACUUCUCCAAAGUUGUUCGUGUUCAUAUGUUUACCAAGAGUACACUCAGCAUUGUGCUAUCUACUGUAAGAGGCAGAAUAAAGGUAAGCCAUACAAGCUCCUUUCAACCUUCCCAGGGAAGAAUGUUAUGCCAUCGAAAAUUACUAGGAAGCUUUCUUACAGGAGAAGAAAAUAAGUUUCUCGAUUGCUUUAAAAAAUUACCUAGAAAAUCAACCCCUUACUUUCUCAUGGCAACUGAAAUAAAUGUAUACGUCAAUGAAAAGAAAUGUAAAUCAAUUUCAAUGUCUUCAUGGAGCUGCAAACUUUGUUAUUGUCCCUCUAGUACAAUAUAGAUUCCAUAAACCAUGUCGAAGGAGACAGAAGAAAUUACUUCCAUGUGAUAUGUUCAGUUGGAUGAGACUUUUUAGGCUUUUGUAUUCUACUUUAUAAGUGCAUUCUAAUUUAAAUGCAUUCUUAAGCAUACCAAAAUAAAAC
Molecule: long non-coding RNA, 1022 nt
Filed under: Vulpes vulpes (red fox)
Lineage: Eukaryota; Metazoa; Chordata; Mammalia; Carnivora; Canidae
Description: lncRNA (ENSVVUG00000007621.1)
Source: RNAcentral